CCUACGGGAGGCAGCAGUGAGGAAUAUUGGUCAAUGGGCGCGAGUCUGAACCAGCCAAGUCGCGUGAGGGAUGACGGUCCUACGGAUUGUAAACCUCUUUUGCCGGGGAGCAAGCGUGCGUUCGUGAACGCACGUCGAGAGUACCCGGAGAAAAAGCAUCGGCUAACUCCGUGCCAGCAGCCGCGGUAAUACGGAGGAUGCGAGCGUUAUCCGGAUUUAUUGGGUUUAAAGGGAGCGUAGGCCGGCUUUUAAGUCAGCUGUGAAAGUCCGCGGCUCAACCGUGGAAUUGCAGUUGAAACUGGAGGCCUUGAGUGCACACAGGGAUGCCGGAAUUCAUGGUGUAGCGGUGAAAUGCUUAGAUAUCAUGAAGAACUCCGAUCGCGAAGGCAAGUGUCCGGGGUGCAACUGACGCUGAGGCUCGAAAGUGCGGGUAUCAAACAGGAUUAGAUACCCCUGUAGUC
This 461-nucleotide ribosomal RNA is filed under the name uncultured bacterium. RNAcentral's name for it is "partial 16S ribosomal RNA". It matches the Rfam family "Bacterial small subunit ribosomal RNA", at positions 338 to 795 of the family's 1533-position model. The record is from RNAcentral.